AGCGAACGUUAGCGGCGGGCCUAACACAUGCAAGUCGAACGCGAAAGGUCUUCGGACUGAGUAGAGUGGCGCACGGGUGAGUAACACGUAGGUAAUCUACCCUUUGGCGGGGGAUAACGUUCCGAAAGGAGCGCUAAUACCGCAUAAGACCACGGAGUCUCCGGACGCUGUGGGGAAAAAGGUGGCCUCUUCUUGAAAGCUACCACCGAAGGAUGAGCCUGCGUCCCAUCAGCUAGUUGGUAAGGUAAUGGCUUACCAAGGCGAAGACGGGUAGCUGGUUUGAGAGAAUGAUCAGCCACACUGGCACUGGAACACGGGCCAGACUCCUACGGGAGGCAGCAGUGAGAAAUAUUGGGCAAUGGGCGAAAGCCUGACCCAGCCACGCCGCGUGAGUGAUGAAGGCCCUCGGGUCGUAAAGCUCUGUGGAGAGGGACGAAAACCCUGGUUUACAAUAGGCUCCAGGCUUGACGGUACCUCUUUAGCAAGCACCGGCUAACUCUGUGCCAGCAGCCG
RNAcentral lists this ribosomal RNA (513 nucleotides) under uncultured bacterium. RNAcentral's name for it is "bacterial SSU rRNA". It matches the Rfam family "Bacterial small subunit ribosomal RNA", at positions 29 to 517 of the family's 1533-position model. The record is from RNAcentral.